RNA transcript from Orcinus orca (killer whale), 4495 nucleotides. It is a transcript of the gene named zinc finger FYVE-type containing 28, with no coding region annotated. The transcript is spliced from 11 exons. Lineage: Eukaryota; Metazoa; Chordata; Mammalia; Artiodactyla; Delphinidae. The record is from RefSeq and is a predicted model, not a curated record.
CUGAUGGUGGCUGGCGGUGCCGCCAGGUCAGUGCUGUGUACCGACGCACUCCUGUGGACAAGGCCGACCUUGGGGAUAUGGGUCAUGGCCAGCCGGGCGCUGCAGAACUCAGAGGGGACAGAAGUGUGGUGGAGAGUCGCAGGAGGGUCUGGCGGUCGGACCCGCAGCUGCUGGCGCAGUUCUACCACGCGGACGAGGAGCUGAGCCAGGUGGCGGCCGAGCUGGACAGUCUGGACGGGCGGAAGGACCCCCAGCGCUGCACGCUGCUCGUCAGCCAGUUCCGCUCCUGCCAGGACAACGUGUUAAACAUCAUUAACCAGAUCAUGGAUGUGUGCAUCCCCCAGGACCGCGCCCCACGGGAUUUCUGUGUCAAGUUCCCCGAGGAAAUCCGGCACGACAACCUGGCCGGCCAGCUCUGGUUUGGCGCCGAGUGCCUGGCCGCUGGCUCCAUCAUCAUGAACCGCGAGCUGGAGAGCAUGGCCAUGCGGCCGCUGGCCAAGGAGCUGACCCGCAGCCUGGAGGACGUGCGCGGCGCCCUCCGCGACCAGGCGCUGCGGGACCUCAACACCUACACGGAGAAGAUGCGGGAGGCGCUGAGGCACUUCGACGUGUUGUUCGCAGAGUUUGAGCUGAGCUACGUGUCGGCCAUGGUGCCCGUGAAGUCCCCGCGGGAGUACUACGUGCAGCAGGAGGUCAUCGUGCUGUUCUGUGAGACGGUGGAGAGGGCCCUGGACUUCGGGUACCUGACCCAGGACAUGAUUGAUGACUACGAGCCAGCCCUCAUGUUCACCAUCCCCAGGUUGGCCAUCGUGUGUGGCCUCGUGGUCUACGCGGAUGGACCCCUGAACCUGGACCGCAAGGCAGAGGACAUGUCCGAGCUCUUCCGGCCCUUCCACACGUUGCUGCGGAAAAUCAGGGAUUUGCUGCGGACCCUGACCGAGGAGGAGCUUCACACGCUGGAACGGAACCUCUGUAUUUCCCAAGACGUGGAGUUCCCCAUCCGGGCGGACACCCCGGUGCCCCCUGCCCUGGAGCCCGCCCUGCCCGCACCCCUCGGCCCGGCGGAGCCCAGGCACGCAGAGGCGGAGCUGGCGUGCUCCGUGCAGGACGACGACCAGGAGCUGGAGCAGCUCAGCCGAAUGGUGCACAGGGCUGGGGACGCGAUGUCCUCUCUCCUGUCCCCGCCCAAUGCCUGCCAGUCCCCCGCGCACGGGCCGGGCGCCGAGCGCGGUGCCCUCGGGCAGGCAUCCCCGGGCGGACCACGGCUGCCGCCGGGCAGCGACGAAGAGGAGGGGAGGGUGUUCUUCAUGGAGGAUGUGGACGGGGCGGCAGAGCCCCCGGGCGGCCGGUGUGGGCGGGCGGGCGGCCCCCAGGAGAGAGGGCGGGGCGGGGAGAGCCGAGGGGCGGGGGCCGGAGCAGCCGCCGCAGCCGAGACGGAGGACCUGAGCGGCAGCACCGGCGUGCAGGGCGACCAGACACGGGCAGUGGGCCCUGGCUCCUGCAGCUGCCCGGACUCCCAGCCGCAGCUGGACGGCUGGGAGGCGAGUGCGGAGGACGCCCAGACGGCCGAGCUAAUCGCCCACCGGACGGGGGGCAUGAAGCUCUCGGCCACGGUCAUCUUCAACCCCAAGUCGCCCAGCUCCCUGGACUCUGCCCUCGCCAACCCAGAAGUCCUCGGAGACGGCGUCUCCCCGGGGGAGCCGGCGGCCGAGGGGACGGAGGGCGGCCCCCACAAACUCAGCGCCACGGCUGCCAACAGCCUUCUGAACUCCUGCGUGUGCUGCAGGGGCUGUGCGGGCAGCAGGGAGGACGCGGCGGAGAGCCUGCGCGGCAAGUGCGGCUCGGGAAGCGUCAUCCGCUCCUCUUACGUGGGCUCCGCCAAGGCCUGCGCCAAGGGCUCGGCCGCGGGGCUGCUGGAGGUCCGGCCUGACCCGGAGGCCUUGCCCACGGCGCUGGGCGUCCCAGACCCCGGGCCCUCUGAAGACGCCCCCGGCGGGCAGGAGCCCAAAGCCCCCACUUCCGACAAGUGCCUGGCACACACCUCAGGGCCCCAGGUGGACGCGGCAGACGGGCUGCCUGGAGGGGGCGGCGGAGCGAGUGAGCAAAAGGAGGCUGAGGCCCGGCAGCCCUCGGAGGCCGGGGAGGAGAGUCGGCGUGGAGGGGCGGCCGGGGAGGAGGCCCAGCACCUGCCGGGCUCCAGGUUCAAGCCCAACAUCAUAAUGUCCAGCGGAAUGAAUUCUUGUCCACAACCUAAGGAGCGGCUUCCUCCCUCAGGGCCUCCAGCUCAGUGGCCCAGAGUUGAUUGGUGACAGUCAGUGAACACUUACUCUGUCUGGAACCCCCUCCUGCUUUCCUGACGUGUCCCGCCGUGGACACUGCUUGUUCACGUCAGGCCGGCAGCUUCCCAGGCCUCCUCUGGCUUAGCACAAAUGCAGAAGCUGAGCUGAGAAAAGGAAACAGCCUCCGUGGAGGCCUCGGGAGACGCUCCCAUCUCCCAGGGAAGCAUUUCCACAAGGUGCAGAGGGUCUGAGGGUGGCCAGGGGAUCAGGGCAGCCAGGCCUUUGGGCCAGGACCGUGGACAGCGGCGCCCGGGGCCCAGCACUGCGCCAGGAGCAGCUGAGAAUCAGGUCAGCAGGUGGCGCCCGUGCCCUCCGCGGGCAGCGCAGACAUGGGGAGCGUCAUCCCUUCGCAUCGCACGUGGGUUCCUGGGUGGCUGAGCAGGGUGCGGGGGAGGCGGCCCAACCUUGCAGAGCGUGAUCUAACACGAAUGGAGGGGCAAAAGCAACCUGUUGAAACAGACAGACACAGAAGCCCAGCCUCACACAGGCAGCAAGUUCACCGGAACUCGGACGGCGAGAUCCCGGGCGUUGGUUGGCGUUGUUAGUAUCAUCUGUGCGCAGCCUCCCAUGAACACAGCCAGGCUUGUGUCGGGUGCAGGUGACCCCCCGCCCCUGGCAGACGGAGAGACGGACCCCGGAGAGGCUGGCACCCGCCGUGGCUCGAAGUGCCUAGAGGGGCUGGCAUCACUCUUGACCCGCCUGAGCGAGAGCCCGUCUGUCUGGUGACGUGCUUGGUCAUCACUCGGCCGUGACGAGCCAACAUCCUGAGCUGACCAUGAGGCUGCCUGUCCAGCAGGUCCCCCUGUGGCCCCUGCCAUGCGCGGGAGUAGGAGUGACCGCGUGUGUGGCCCCGUGCGUGAGUCAGACGGGUGCAGCCUCAGACCUCUGUGCCACCUUUGAGUCGGGUGCCAUGAAGGGGACGCACCAAGCCGUGACCACGAGUCUGCUUUUGGGGCCAUGUUCCCCGAGGACGCCUGGAGUGUCACCUCCCACACAAGCAGCGCACAGCCUCCAGGUGGAAGGACGGGGCUGCCGGGGUACGGCGCAGGCCGGAGGUGGGUCCUGGAGCAAGGGCCCGGGCGGGAAGAGCCCUGCACGUUCCCCCAGGCCCUGUCUUCAGCCGCACGCAGGCCGGUUCCAGCCGUGCUGUUGCCCGGGGUAGGGGACGUCGCCCCAGCACAGUCGUGGGCAGAAUGUUUCAGAACCCAGUGUCCUUCAGAUCUUUUCUUUCUUACCUUUUCCGUGCUUGAAGAUUAACCUUUUUUGGGGAAAACUUAGCAUUUUUAAAAGCUUCCUGUUUUUUGCCUAGACUCACCUCAUCAGUCAGAACUGUCCACACUCUCGAGGCUGGCAGGAGCGCUCACUUGUCUAGAGGACGGAAACUCGCCCCCUCUUGGGUCUUUUACUAAAGUGAGUUUCCAACCUUCUUGAAAAAAUAACACUGACUCUUGCUUUUUUCUAAUUACAAUUGUGGUCCCCACUCAUUGUAGAAACUUAUGAAAACAUAAAGAAGAGUAAAAGAAGGAAAUAAAAACCAUUCCAAAUCUGAACUUUUCAUCAUCCCAGACUGAAACUCUGUCCCCACUCAAGCCCCCUUCCCCAGCAGCCGGCACCCACCAUCUGCUUUCUGUCUCUGUGAAUGUGACUCCUCCAGGGACCUCACGUAAGCGGAGUCACACGGUGUUUGUCCUUUUGUGACCGGCUUCUGUCACUGGGCCUAAUGUCCUACAGGUGCGUCCAUAUGGUAGCUGGUGUCAGAAUUUUCUUCCGUGUUAAGGCUGGAUAAUAUUCCAUCGUAUGGAGGGACCACGUUUUGUGUAUCCAUCAUCUGUUGACGGGCACUUGGGUUGUUUCCCCUUGGGCUCUUGUGAAUAACGCUGCUGCAAAUAGUGUGUGUAAAUAUUUGCUUGGGCUCCUGCUUCCCAGUCUUUUGGGUGAGGCUGUGAACUGAGACUGGGGGCGUUGAUGGAAGCUGACACCCCAGACAGUGAUGUUGCAUCCCCCUUCUUUACUCAGCUCCCAGGACAGGGGCCGCCAAGUCCACACCCCCCAGGCAGAAAGUCAAGGGCUUCGUCUCUGGAAACCUGGCAGGGGGUCUGGGAGGGCAGAGCUGUAGAUCAUCACAAGGGUCCCAGCCUCGCCCUCAGCCUCCCACC